Long non-coding RNA from Bubalus bubalis (water buffalo), 1031 nucleotides. RefSeq lists it as uncharacterized. The transcript has 2 exons. NCBI's taxonomy places the organism in Eukaryota, Metazoa, Chordata, Mammalia, Artiodactyla, Bovidae. The record is from RefSeq and is a predicted model, not a curated record.
UACUUUAUUUUAGAUUUAGAGUCUCAGGUUGCCCAGAAGCUCAUAGAGGGAUAGAAAUAGGCUAUGCUUUGUCAGUUAUUGCUCUUAUUUCUUCGUUCAGUUGCUAAGUUGUGUCUAGUUAAGAUGCCUGCUGACUGAUACUUUGUUAAAAGUAACUUUAAGUUGAACUACUGUAUUAAUCAACCUAUUUGAAAAGAGAUAACUCCCUUUUUAUUUCAUGAUUACAUGACAAUUCAUCACAUGAAUGUUUAACACUCAUAUAGGAAUGGUAAUUUGUUUAAAGUUUAGGCACAAAAUUGGCUUGAAUCCUAACCAUUAUGACCCUUUAUUCGAUUAUGUAGCUAGGGUGUGUUUGUUUACGACCGCAAGCAGAAAGCUAUAUAGAGAAAGAUGUACAAUUUAAUGAGCAUCUGUGGUUUACGUCCUGACACGCCUCUCAUUUACUUUCAUCAGUUUUUCUGCUUACAAACGUCACCUUUCAGCUUAAUAUCGGUACUAAAUCCAAAUGGCUCCCUUUGUGUUCCUUCCACUUUCACAUGUAGUGUCUUCACAGGACAUUUUUCUAAGCCUAUAAUCUUUGGACUGCUCUUGCAUACCAAAGAGUUUAGUCUACACUGAACUCUGCUCUUCUGAUUUAAACAGUUUAUUCCUUAAAAACCAUCAAGGAUGCAAGCACAUAUGUAGAAGGUUUCCCAAGCCCUGUCAGAAUAUUCCAAAGAAAUCCAUAGGUACUUGGAACUGAAGCAGGAGCAGGCUCCAAGAGUGCUCAGAUCUCUGUCGGCAGAGUUGGACAGGAUUCCACUGUGCAGUUGCUCACAGCUGGUUCCAGCUGUUGCUGCAUGUUUUGACCCUGUUUUUGGUGAAGAUUGUGUUUCCAGUCCUUCCUCUCCCCGCUUACAAUCCUACACAAACAGUGUCGUGUGGUUUGCUGGGGAAGCUGAUAGUAUUCGUAAAGGCCAGUGGCUCCUUCCAAAGGCACACCGACUAUUCAUAUAAAGUUACUUCUGCAAAUAAAGCUGUUUACUUUGGUU